CCUACGGGAGGCAGCAGUAGGGAAUAUUGCUCCAUGGGGGAAACCCUGAAGCAGCAACGCAGCGUGGAGGAUGAAGGUUUUCGGAUUGUAAACUCCUUUUGUUAGAGAAGAUAAUGACGGUAUCUAACGAAUAAGCACCGGCUAACUCCGUGCCAGCAGCCGCGGUAAUACGGAGGGUGCAAGCGUUACUCGGAAUCCCUGGGCGUAAAGAGCGCGUAGGCGGGAUAGCAAGUCAGAUGUGAAAUCCUAUGGCGUAACCAUAGAAAUGACGUUGAAACUGUUAUUCUAGAGUAUGGGAGAGGUAGGUGGAAUUCUUGGUGGAGUGGUAAAAUCCGUAGAGAUCAAGAGGAAUACUCAUUGCGAAGGCGACCUGCUAGAACAUAACGGACGCUGAUGCGCGAAAGCGUGGGGAGCAAACAGGAUUAGAGACCCUUGUAGUC
RNAcentral lists this ribosomal RNA (440 nucleotides) under uncultured bacterium. Its description in RNAcentral is "partial 16S ribosomal RNA". It matches the Rfam family "Bacterial small subunit ribosomal RNA", at positions 338 to 795 of the family's 1533-position model. The record is from RNAcentral.